GAAGAAUUCAUGGUACAAACAACUUUUAAAAUCUUUCAUUUACUAGAACACAUUUUAAUAGCACUAUUACACAAUAUGAAACGAGACCUGAAGAAAUGAAGGUUAAAAUUUCAACUUACCAAACUGUAAUUUCUUCAUAACAGCCACAUAUUUUUCUUCAAGCGAUUUCAAUACUGAUAAAGGUUUGGGUUUCAUAGCCACCUUCUUUGAACAUUCACCUAGUUUUUUUUCUGUUAUUUAAUAUUUCAAGAUAAAUAAUAUAAGCAUACAUUUUAAAAGAUCAAAACAAAAACAGUUUCUACAGUUCAAAGUUCGAAUUCUAAAAAAUUAACAAACUCUUCACAAUUAUCUUCCUGGUGUAUCAGUUUAAGUAUAAGAGAUUUUUAUGUCAUAAACAUAACUAAUAGGGCUAAAACCCUUAUCAACUUUAAAGUUUAUGUUCUUAAAUUCUGUAAAAUUAGUUUGACCCAAUCAGGCAAGACAGCAGACGUAAAACAAUAGAUAAUACACUGCUAAGACAUGAAAAUGCUAAUUUAAACUGAAUUCUCACAACCAGUCUAAAUGUACUCUUUCCUAUCCAGUACAAUGGCAUUUUUCAAUUUCACAACUACCAACAGGAAGAAGAGAAGUUCAUGACAUGUCUGUCUGCCUGCUCAAUCUAGUGUGAGUGAUCAUACAAAGAAGAGGUAAGUAUUUCAAAAUUAGAGACUAUUCACGAUUAACUUGAAAGCGUGGCAACAAAAUUUUUAGGUAAAUGAGCUUGCUUGCAAAGCAUUAACACAGAGAAAAGAGAGAGGUAGUUUUCAGAAGUAAAUGAAACAUCUCUGGGUCAAAAGAAAAGCAGCAAGGACAGUUCUGUACCUUGAUUUGCCUGCCGUAAACUGGUAGUGGCUGCAUGCACAAUCUCAGCAGUCUUCUGGAUGUCCGGUACCAACAGUGUAAGUCCUUCUGGUUCUUGAUCAGAUGCAUCUGGUUUUACUCCUGUUUUAACAUUUUCCCUUUUAGAUCUGAAACGGUUGGUGUAGGUAUCAACACACGUCUUCAUUUUGGCUAAUAAUGUACCAACAGAAGUCUGGCACUCUGACUGUUCUUCUUCCUCUUCACCAUUCUCUGUAGAAAGAGGCAACAGUAGGGGCACCAUGGAUGUACAAGAAGCAAUGGCCCGGAGCAAUUCCAGCAGAGCUCGAUAGAGUGGCACAUGUCUUGCCAUAUCAAGAACUGUAAAAGGAAAGGGAAAAGCAUAAAAUGAGAACAUGUGUGCAAUAUACAAGUCCACAGCCAUGUAGCUUCUACUCAGAUCUUAAGAUUGAUUGGUUACUUGGUAAAUGAGCUAAUGCUGAUGUUUAUGAAGCACCACGUGCUAAGUAUAAUAAUCAUUAGUUCAAAUGUUUUAUUUAUUUUUUUGAGAGAGAGAUUGAGCGCGCAUGUGUGCGGUGCUUGAGGGAGAGGUGAAUCUAAAGCAGGUUCCAUGCUCAGGGUGGAGCCUGAUGCUUAACUGACCUAGCCACCCAAGCACCCCUCCAAUGUUUUCUUAAAAGCACAUGUAUUGAAGAAUAAAUGCCCCACUCUAAGAACAUAUACCACAUCUACAAUUUUUAUAAGUUGUUUUGCUAGGUUUUGUAGUUUUCUUCCAACUGGAAUUUACUUUUGUGAUCAUGUGAGAUAAAGACUUUAACAGGGGCACCUACGUGGUUCAGUCGGUUAAGCGGCUGACUCAUUUUAGCUCAGGUCAUGAUCUCAUGGUUUGUGAGACUGAGCCCUGUAUAUGGGGCUCUGCACUGACAGUGCAAACUGUAACUGUUUUUUUUAAGUGUAUUUAUUUAUUUUGAGAGAGAGAGAGAGAGAGAGAGAGAGAAUGCCUGCAGAGAGUGAGAGAGCAUCUCCAAAAAGGCUCCACCCAGCAUAGAGCCUGACUCAGGCUCAAUCCCACAACAGCGAGACUCUUUUUUUUUUUUUUUAAAGUAAGCUCUACACUCAGUGUGGGGCUUGAACUCAUGACCCUGAGAUCAAGGGUUGCGUGUUCUACUAAGCCGGCCAGAUACCCUAACAACUUUUUUCCCAUCCCAGUUACUGAAUAAAGUUAUGCCAUAAAUAUUCACUGAAAACAUGCUGCUUGACAGGCUGAGAAUACAGCAGUGAAGAAAAUAAACAAAAAUCCCUGCUCUCAUGUAGCUUACAUUCUAUGUAGAGGGCAAAUAAGUAAAAAAAAAUUUUCAGAUGCUAACAGGGACUCUGACUGCUACACACACAAAGACUGAAACCGGGAAGGAGAAGUGGAGGAGUACCUACUGGAGGCAGAAAUUGGUUCACAGCCCACAGACCUAUAC
Molecule: long non-coding RNA, 2327 nt
Organism: Lynx canadensis (Canada lynx)
Lineage: Eukaryota; Metazoa; Chordata; Mammalia; Carnivora; Felidae
Source: Ensembl